Long non-coding RNA from Hippocampus zosterae (dwarf seahorse), 828 nucleotides. RefSeq lists it as uncharacterized. NCBI's taxonomy places the organism in Eukaryota, Metazoa, Chordata, Actinopteri, Syngnathiformes, Syngnathidae. The record is from RefSeq and is a predicted model, not a curated record. The transcript has 2 exons.
UCGAAUGCUUUUAAAAUGCAGUUUGGUAGGAUUUAAUUUGCCCCAUGUUUGUUCUGACAGGUGUCGACUUGAAAACCCAUAUUAUACGUUUAUAGCCAACCAAACAUAAAGAGUCACAUAAACGAUAUUAAAGCAUUACAUAAACAAGUCGAAAUUUUUAAUUUUGAAAUACUGUUGUCAAUUGACUUAAUUCGGGGUUUUGCAUUGCAAAAAAUCCGUGUUGUUGUUUUCCUCUUGCCCUUUUCCGAAGUCUUCCGACUGUAGCCGAAGUCUUCUGCUCGCGCCUCGGUCGCUUCGCUUCUCGCUGACCAAUUUGUCGUCAUCGCAAUUAUGGUGGACAUUAUGGUGUUAAUGUUCUUUGCCAUCAUGGGCCUAGUCUUCCUGUCCUACAUCAUUUACAUGCUGUGAGGAUGAUGGCGGUUCCGUGGAGGACGACGAAAAGGAACAAGAGGAGGAGGCGCCCUUGCUUUGCAUCUGGGAUGCCUCCAUCCCGGACGAGGGUGACGUCUGAAGCAAUUGGACCUCUUCGUCUGUAUCAGUGAUGACAACCAGUGGGAGGACCAUGAAGGCCUCUCCAUGCAGAAGCUGACAGAUGGACUCUCCCGAAUGAUUGAAUUAGUUAGUCCAUGAUGUUUUUGUGGCGAAUCAACACAAUACUGGUUGGAAACCUCUCGGUCAAGCAUAUACGGUGGUUUAAAACUCACUUAUCAUAUUAUCAGUUUCACCCACGCAUGAAGACUCACCCUUCAGUUACCACCAAAGCUUAUUUGUUAUCAUGAUACUACUAAUCAGCGAUUUUGUGUUCAAUAAAGAUGAUUCUAAUGAAAA